This 432-nucleotide long non-coding RNA is filed under the name Mus spicilegus (steppe mouse). RNAcentral's name for it is "lncRNA (ENSMSIG00000003270.1)". Lineage: Eukaryota; Metazoa; Chordata; Mammalia; Rodentia; Muridae. The record is from RNAcentral.
CUGAAGGUCAGAAACUUGGGCAUUGCCUAUGUGACUACUGACCAUGCUUCUCUUGUGGGAGCUGUGGGGAGUGGGCGGUAACUUAGGCAGGGGCCAGAGUUCCAGGAGCAUGAGGGAAUGCCUACCGUGUCAUGAAGGUGAAUUAUGACUAUCGGGGUUCAGACCUUAGCUCAACUGGAGACCAGCCUGCAAUUCCCCACAACAAGUCUUGCAAAAGGUGUCAAGAGGGUGUGAGAAAGUCACGUUCUCAAGAAGCAGACGAGUACAUAUUCCUUUUUGGAAAUGAGAAGAAGUGGAAACUGUUCUGGUUAUUGGUCGGCCUUCUGGAGUGCUUCUCCCUCCUUGAAGUCCAUGAUGAGCACAGGCAAGUCCAUGAGCUCCUGGACCACCACACCCCCCUAGCAGAGGACGGUGGAUGUUUUACAUUUAAGC